Molecule: long non-coding RNA, 328 nt
Filed under: Carica papaya (papaya)
Lineage: Eukaryota; Viridiplantae; Streptophyta; Magnoliopsida; Brassicales; Caricaceae
Description: long non-coding RNA (CPAP_LNC006433)
Source: RNAcentral
UUAUAAUAUUGAUUCAAUAAAUUUAAAACUUAACUCGUAAAUAUUUUAAUAGGAUGAUGAAGACGAAGUUAGAUUUGAAAAUUCAUCUUUCUUAAUCUCGAGAUUAAAUCGUCUUUGAUGCAAAUAUUUUGCUGGUGUACGGUUUAUAUAUGAAUUUUAUGUAUGUGUCAAUAAGAGCUUUGGGGAUAAAACAAAGAUGGUGGUUAAAUUAGGAAUUAGUGUUUUUUUUUUUUUACUAACGAUUUUUUGGAUGCUCUUUGUGGUCUUGUAAAUCUUGAAGAACUUAUUUCAUUAUUUUGGUAAUAGAUAAAUCUUAAUUUCAUUUUGG